Molecule: long non-coding RNA, 732 nt
Organism: Mytilus californianus (California mussel)
Lineage: Eukaryota; Metazoa; Mollusca; Bivalvia; Mytilida; Mytilidae
Exons: 3
Source: RefSeq, a predicted model, not a curated record
GGUGGUCUUAUACAGCUAAUACGAAGGUUAGCAUCACAGCUUGUCUGUAAAGAUUGAAGCUGGGAGUGGGCAUUGGAGCUGACUUUUAUGGUAACUCUGGCUGCAUAAAAGGGCUAUGUGAUUUUACUGUAACAGUAAAGAAUGUAAUUCAGACUAUUUUUGUGUAUGUUUGAGAAAAUGUUUAUAAUUUUUACAAAAAGAAAAAAAAAAUUAUGUACAGGUUCUCCAUUUUCAACAAGAUUGGAAGAUGUAGGUUAAUAGGUCUUUGAAAUUUCAAAAAUUACUUUCUAUUUUCUGUUCAUACUCAUGUCUAGGCAAAACACUUCCAGUAGUUUAAGAAUGGAGAAUCUAAAAAAAAGAAAAAGAAAAAAAUGUUCAAUUAUUGAAAUGUAUUUUAUUUUUGCAAAUUGUAAUAUAUUUUUUCACCUUUGUGUCAUUUUUAGCUGAGUUUAUAACAAAGGGUAUAUUAUUUUAAGAAUAUUUUACAAGAAGCAUAGUUGAAGAAUAUCUUGAUGAAAGUAGAUUGAUUGAUUUUUGGUAUUUAACACCACUUUCAGCAUGAUUUGCUAUAUCUUGGCUGCCAGUUUUUAUUUGUGGAGACAGCCUGGUGAAAACAUCCCCUUCAACAGAGAAACUGGCAACUCUAGUCAAUUAAGAUUGACCUUAAACACACCUACAAUGUGAGGGUUCAGAGUGUUGACAGGCUAGUGAUACAGUAGUUGAACUACUUUG